Molecule: non-coding RNA, 15479 nt
Organism: Meleagris gallopavo (turkey)
Lineage: Eukaryota; Metazoa; Chordata; Aves; Galliformes; Phasianidae
Source: RefSeq, a predicted model, not a curated record
CAUAUUACUUACACUUUUUUUCUUUAUGUGUUGAACAGAAUUUGUUAAGUCAUUUGUGUGAGCAGUACACAGUAAACUUUUUCAUGCAAUAACACUAAAUAUUAAAUGUAGAAUAUAACAUGUUAAUAAAACGUUGCUAAUGUAAGUAGGCCUCCUAAAUUGGAGGAUACGACAGUUCUGUGAUUAAAUGCCUCAUCUCUUGAAUUGAACCUUUGGAAGGCAUUGGUAGGCAGAAAAAAGCGUAGUACAUAAAUAUUGAUAAAAUUAUUAAGACCUAAAACCAGCAACAAAUAACAAGGAAACAAAUUAGGGUGGACCAUGAUGGUCAUUAGGAGUAGAGGAUAUAGCAUAUUAUAUUUGUACAGGUUUGUAGAAGUAUAGCAGAAAUGCUGAGUCACAACUUGAAGCAGAGCACCUGGUGGGAAGGCAGGGCUAACCCACGGGAGCUCAGGUGCAAGCAAUGCUCCUGAUUGACCAGAAGGGGUAGGGCAGAAUCCACCCUUUCCCAGACCUCAUUUAAGGGUUGGCAGGGGGGCACAUAGGUCUUUUGCUGGAGAUCCCUGUGUAUCUGAAGACCUAUUUAGGCAUAAAAAAGAAGUGUUGAGAGCUGCUCUUAACCCUUUUGGAGUCCGAAGUCAAAAGGGAACUAGAGGGCUUGACACAUCCCUUGCAUCUUCCAUUUACUCUGACCACAGUCCCUCCCUGUUCUCACAAGUGGAGCUAAGCCCUGCUUCCCUUCUUCUUGAUUCCCAGACAGCUACAUGACUGCCUGAAGUUACAUUGUAGAUGCUGAAAUCACUGCACCUUAAAAACAAAAAGAUUAAGCUGCACUGCAUUCUUAUGUAUAGAGGCAUGUUAUAGAAAUAUGUAUUAAGAAGUUCCCGGGUCCUAGGAGAACGUAUCAAGUUGGCUCUGGCUAGAAGCAAACAAAUUACCUUCGUGGUCCUGGUCCUUUCUUUCCACACAAUUAUCGACUGAGCUGAAGGAGAUCUCCCUAUAGCUCAGUGGUUGGCAGUUUUCCUCAACUCCACAAGAGAGAGAGAGAGAUUUGGUUGGAAUGAAACCUUACUCUUCGUACAGUCGGAUUGAGAUGCAGCUUUGAAAGGGAAAUGACUGCAUGCAUAGUCACUGGUACAUUCCGUGGUAGCAAGAAGAGUUUGCUUAUGUGCUGUAGGACUGAGGUGAGACCUGAAGGUGCAAGACCUGCCCAAAUCCUGUAUUCUCCCCAGAAGGCAGCAGUAGCAGAUGUUUGUGAAUGGCAGCACCUAUCCUGUAAUAUGACCAGGAAAAUAAUCCACUGUGGAAAUUUCACUUAAUUGUCCUGAAGUGAAGCACAGUUUAUUGAUGCAACUGAAGGGUUUUACACUCUGUUGUGUUUUGGAUAUAGAAUAGUAGAACAGUUUUCACUUAGCACAUUAUCAAUACAGCCAUCAGUUCUAGGGAAUUCUCUCAUGCACAGUGCCUUCCAAAGAGGGAAAGUAAACUUCUACGGUACUUAGCAUAGUCUUCAAAUUCUCUACACACGCAUCUAAGAUGUGCAGCAAUUCCCUGAGUUAUGGUCUAGUGUGAAGGCAGGCAUAUACAACUGCUUCUUUUAAUCUUGCUGAUGGGCAGCUAGAAUAGACAUACAAAAUCUUCAUAAGGCAUCAAACGUACAGAUGUUCUCCAUCUCUCUCUUCUUGCAGUCGCCAUGUAUCACACAAUACACAUAUGGUAAUAGAUUGUAUGUCAGGGGAAAACACAGACUACACCCCAUGCAGCCAUCACACCUUGAAAAUAGACAUAAAAUGGUGAGUCAAUAUGAAUACACAGCUCCUAACAGCCUAAUAGAAUAGAUCGCACCACAGCCAGGUACAUCUGUUCUCAGCACUAACCAUUAUCAUUAGUUUAAAACACUUAAAAUCACUGAGCUUCCGCAGGUCUGGGGACAGAUUAUACCAGGAAGAAUCUGCUAAAUAGAUUUAGCAAUGUAGCAAAGAGGGACCUUGGCUACAUUAAAACAGUACAUUUUGCAUCUCAAAGGCUGUAGGCUGUUUUCAGAGGAGCAGUCUGAAUGAGGAAUGACGCUAACACCAUGUAGCAAUUUCUUUAUCAUCAUUUAAAUAUAGAGCUUGAAAGUCUUGGACAAACAAUUGUGCCAAACAGCAGAACAAUUUAUUUGUGAAAAAUCAAGCUUGCCUUCUCUAGGAAACCAUCAGCUGUCCUGUAGCAUGUGUUCUCAUCAGACUAAUACAUGAGAUACAAAUAUCUAACUGUGACUGGACCAGAGUGUGAGUCUGACAGAAAGACUUAAUCUCUGUUAGGUAGGAGAAGAAACAGGGAAAGAGAAAAAAUAACAGAUUUCUCCAUAGCUCUCUGUCUCUCUCUGUCUUCCCAGUCUGGUAUCUGAUUGCUCUGAAGUGUAAGAUAAAGGUUCUUGCACAGACAUUGAAGUCAGUCAAGUCGUGAAGGCUUUAGGGGAGGCUUCAAAAACAAACAAAAAGGAAGUCUUGAUAUACAUGCAUCAGUGAUUGCUGAGGCACUAUGCUAUUGCUUGUUUCAGACUUGCUGUAGAGGGGUUUUUGAAGGAACGUGUGUGACUAACUCGAUAGGAACCGAGAUGUCUGACUCUUCAAAAGAGGUGGAAGUGAAACUAGGCAAAAUACUGGUGAUAAAUGUAUGAAAUACUGGUUUUGGUAAUGAAAAAGGACAGAAAGAUGUGGAAAAAAAUCCAUGUAUGUUUUGUGUAUUAGUGGAUAACAGGUCCAGGGAAAUAGAUAAAAAAGCUUUAGCUUCUUUUCUUACAGAUUUUGUCAGGGUAAUAAAGAAAAAUGUUUCAACUUUAUGAAUAACAGUGGGAGACAAAUGCACAUAUCUUCUCCCAGACUCAGAAUUCCCCAAGAAUGCUCCUGCUAUUAAGAGAAAAAGCAAUUACAGAUAUGCAUGGAAGGACAUCCCAUUUUUUUUUCUAAGCUCACUCCUUAUUGCAUCUUUAAGAGAGGACUGAGAUCCACUGUUUCCACAGCAUCAUCUUUUCAUAUCCCUCCCAUUACUCAUACCGCAAUUAAAGAAGAGUAAAGGCUGGCCCAGCCAUCAGGAGUUCUAUAUUUCUCCACCACAGAGUGGGCUGGCUAUGAUGUCCAUUGCCAGCAUGAGAACCUAUCUUUGGUGUUUGUCAGUUUCACCUGCAGUUUGGUAAGCUGCUUUAAUUGUUUCUUAAAGGCCACCCUUCCCUUUCAAAGUCUUGAGAAUGAUUCUUGAUGAGGACGGUGCUGCACCGGAGACCUUGAAGGAUUUUUUUCAGGGAGUCUUCUUUGAGUAAGAGGAGUUUGAAGAGUCAUACGUUUUUGAAGCAAUGUGAACACCUUUGUGAAAAGAAGAUAAGCAGAUAUGCAAGAUGUAACUAAACUCCAUCAGUUUCCAGAAAGUUCAGUGUUGUCUUUGUGCAGAACGUGCCUCUGGUGCAGUACAGUAGCAGCACAAUUAAGCUUCUAUAUUCCUAGCUUUAUCUUCCAGCUGUCUUUGAAUUUUUUGAAUAGCACUUCCUCUACUUACUGUUUUUCAAAUCCUGGAAGUCUGUAGUGUAAAUGAAAAGGAAUUUGGUGUCAAAGGUGUGCAGUACAUAGUGUAGAUGUCUUUAUGAAGCAGAAGAUCACACACAAAACAUCAUAGGGUACCACUUUCUAACCAAUUCUGGAUGCUAAAUGUAUCUAUCCAUCUUAAUGGACAGUACUUUCAUCUUUGAGGUUCGUUCCUUUUUCUGCUCAAGUACAGUAUAGUGUAAUUAGGCAUGAAAACUUCAGGACUUAGAAAACUCUGCCUAGAAAAACACCAGGUUGUGUGUGCUUGGGAGCAUGGAUCGCGGUUAAAAAACAAACAAACAAAAAACCAACAACCCACCAAGAACAACAAAGAAAAACCAUACUGGAUAUUAAUACUGCUUUCCUGUAUAGGUUACAUCAAAUCCUGCAUAUAAUGCAUGGAGUUCAGAAUAUUACUGUGACAACUCUGUUUCUCUGGCACAAUCAGCCUGUCCAUGCCAAAGGGCAGUCUGUAAUUUUCUCAGGAGGCAGUCUGAGCCUGUGCACUUAAUUCACUGAGGAACUGGUGGUUAGCAUAUAUCUCACCACUCUCUGCUUCCCAUGGGAAAGGUAUAUCUUUCAUUAUGUCUCCUUAAAUACAAAUACAGGACAUCAAGCAUAUUGAAAUGCCCCACCAGAUCAGGAAACCAUAUUGCACCCACUUCUAACUCUGGAGAAAGAAGAGGGGAAGAAAUAAUUCAUAGUAGAUACGUGAGAUAGCACACUCACAGCAGUAUCUGGAUGGUGCUCUAGCAGCAUGGCAAUGGUCAGGGAAUUAAAAGUUGAAUAGAAUAGGUGAAAAGCACGAACUCUGGCAGGAGGAAAGGGCAGCUUGUGGCAAGAAAUAACCCACAGCGUAUGCCUGUUUGUUCAGCCCAAGCAGGAGGAUAGGUGGGAUAUAAUCUUUGUAAGAAAAAACAACUAAUAAAGUUGCCAAGAACAGAUAUUUUAUAAUCUGUGCUAAAUCUCUGCUGGAAAACAUGAACAGCAAUGAAACUGAGAAGACACUAAAAGAAAUUCGGGGCAAAGUGCCAGACGCCCAGACGGAAGCAGAAUGUGGACCAAAAAGCUUGCGACAAUUGGGUAAUUAUGGUUUAUGAAUUUCAGCUUUAAUCUGUAGUUCAGUGAGUCCUGAUUAAAUAUCUGUUAAACACAAUUAAAGUUUGUUUUUGUAUUUCACCGUCUUGAUCAGAAUAAUUAGAGACUGCGUGUUUCAUGUCAAAAGUAGCAAGAGGAAUUUUAGUGAAUGAACAUCGUUUUUAAAAGCCAUUUGUAGCACCAGCUGUUGGCAUUAUUUUAUAUUUUAGUGUUAUCAGCAUAAAGACGGGUCCUCUCAAUGCUGAAUGCUUUCCAGCAGGGCUAAGAUGCUGGGAGAGGCGUGAUACAGCAGGAACCGUGCCUGGCCAUAGGACUAUGCAGAGGCAUAGCGCUUCAGAUGAAGCUCUCCAAGCUACAGCGUAAGACCGUGCACUGAAGUGGCAGAGGGCAAGAAGUGCUGUAAGCGGGUCGUGUAGCACCCAGCUUGUGCUUCUCUGCCGAAGAUGCUUCAGAUAGCAAGUGUGACAAGUGUUAGGAAAAAUUGCGGGUUGGAGCAGAUAUCUGAUGAGCUGAAUUUGGGUUUUUUCGUUGCAGGGUCUUAUCAGAAGCUCCGGGUGUCCCGAGGGUUAAAUGUUGGAGUGUCAACCCAGAAUGAUAUUUGUGGUAGCAUUACAAAAGCUUUUGGGAACUAACACAUAAACUGUGCCAGUAGUACCUUAGCAAAGGCAGCAGGCUUCAGGAAUGACCUAUGUGGAUACUGAAAAGGAUAGGUAUGCACAUUCCAGUUUCUGCAGGGACUUCCUAAGUGGAUUCGUCUCCAUUUAUAGCUGCUUCAAUUAAGUGAUGAGAGGAGAAAAGAUCCUUUAAGCUUUUUCUCUGAAGAAGAGGAAAUGAAAAGGGGUUAGUGGGAGGAAAGUGGGAUAGCUUUGAGUAAAGACAUACUGAGAUGCAACUUCCAUAGAUAGAAUAUAUUUUUUCAGGAACCUGAAAUGUAUCCAAAUGUCACCUGAACAUGGUUAGGGCAUGUAAAUAAAUCCUAGGGGGUAUGUGUGUGCAUGUAUGGCUGACCUGUUUUUAGCCUUCAUCUGUCUCUUUAUCCCAGUGAAGAUGAAUCUUCAGUCACAUUUAGUGAUGCCUAGGGAGGAGGAGUAAAUCUCAAAUAGAAUAAGCUAAAAAUUGAAAAUGCCUACUAAAGACGCUUGAAAGACAACUCCAGUUUCUCCUCUUGAGUAAGUGUUCUACUGCCUGUGUGUCUAGUUUACUUCAAAUAAUGUAGUUCCUUUGACCUUUUCAGUUUCUGUCUCUUUGAUGAGUGUCAAAAGAAGAGGCACGGAGCUCUCAUGUGUGGAGGAGAUCUUAUCUUCAAGCAUGGGACUGAGAUGACAGUCCUACUGCAGUCAUCCUUUAGUAACAGCUUUUUGUCACCAGUGACCUAGAGAAAGGGGUCUGUGUGGUUCAUUACCAUCGUGCAGAACCAUUUCAUUUGCUGGCAGUUUAAUCAUUCAUUUGUGCUAUAAGCUUGAAAAGUCAAGAAAAAUAUUAGCUUGUCUAUAGCUUCAGUUUUUUCCAACACUGGUCAGCUUUUUAUGCUUUUUCACCUACCUUUCCAAGUAAGUGGGAGUGAAAUAAUGCCAGAAUUUCUAAAUUAGCCUUCCAAGGAAACUAUAGGUCUAUUAAUUCCAAAGUGAAAUCAAGGUUAAUGGUGAAAGAGUUGAACAGAACUUAAAAAUCAAAGAUAGUUUUGGAAGACAACAUCAAAGGCAUAUCAAAAAUAUGGUGGUCUUUUUAUAAGCUGCAAGCCCUGAAGAGAUGGUGCCCCUAAUAGAGCUGAGGGAAAAAGGAUCAAAGUGAUGAUCGUAUGCGUCUUUAAAGUAGAACGAAUAUCUGGAGUGAAUCUAUGAAGAGACAGGUUUUGGAUGAAACUUUCAUAGCACUGGGAUUGUUUAUCAAGUUUUUAUGCCCGGGUACAGUACAAGUGAUCAGAUUUCACCAGGGACAGAGGGAAAGAAUAUUUAGCUCAGAAUAGGAAAACUAAGACCAAUUGUUGCCUGUGUUUAAAUGUGUGUAUAUUUAUACGUAUGUUACAACAAGUAUCUUUUUAAGAUGUGUGUUUUAUUAAUUUGGACCAUAUCCUCUUCAAGAGAAAUUUAUUCUGGUGGGAAAAAGAAGACAUCCCUGACAUUUGGUUAAGUAUGUGAUUUUUUAUUUUCACUUCAUAAAGUUAGGAGGAGAAGGGAAAUGGAGUUAGGGCUUUUUUAGGGCUUUUCUUUGUCUUCUCUUGCAUUUCUGAAUUUCUCUGAUUUUCCCUCAAAACCAGCUGCUUAAGUGUAUCUCAUCAACUGCCUGAGCUUGUCCAAAUCCACUACCCUUAUAUCUGAGAUAAAUAAAAUCAGGACAACAUGUAGGUUUCUAAUACAAGUUCCUUUGUAUGGGGAUGGGAAGGGAAAUGGAAAUCCUGACUUAUAAUUCUGUGUGUGUAGGGCUUUCACGUUGUGUGUACAAGCCCAGAGGAAAAAAAAAAAGGAAAAAAAGGAACUAUUUCUUCUUUUGGCAAUAGUAUACAUAGUUCUUCCACAGAGUUUUAUUCUAUGCCUGAGGGUCAUUUCUCUUUUAAAAGAAGCACUGACAGCUGUGAUGAAUGGCAUUACCUGGGAAGAGGGAAUAUCUAGAUGUUUAAACAGAUCAAGUUUCUUCUUAUAGCACAGUAAACAUUAGGUCACAAAUCAAGCUGUUCUACUUUCAUGGGCAAUCAGGAUCAAUUCUACGCUACUUAAAUGUGAACUGGAAAGACUUAAGUAUAGCCGCAUGCUGACAUUAACAGAGGAUGGUGGUUUAUAACCUGUGUACAUUGUCACAGCUAUCCUUUUACAUGAAGUCAUGGAUGAAUGCCAUGUGCCCAUGUAGAGUUGCCUCCUUGUCAGCAGGCAAGAUUGCCCGUCCAUCACUAUUAUCUGCAACUAGGCUCAUUACCUGCCAGCCAGUAAACAUCUCACUCUCACCAUCUGCAGUGAAUUACAAAGUGACUGGAAGAAUCAGGAUCAGUUUGCCUUGCAGAAUGAUUGUCAAGUUCAUUUUCAUCUUUGGAGGCCCUUUGGAAAUGGAAAAGAUGGUGACUUGGAUGGGAAAGAGGAUGAUGUCCAUUACCCUCAGGCAAACAAGCUGACUGAUGCUAUUCUUACAUACCUUCCAUUUUACCAAGCGCAGGUGGCUGGAAAUUUUCACAGCAUGCAGGUGAAAUAGUAUCUUUUAUUUUUGAAUGGCUCUAUCAUUUGUGGUGUAUAGCGAUGCCAUUUUCACAUGAGCAGUAAUGUCUGAUUCAGGAAAAUUUUUUAAAAAAUAUUAAUUGUACUCAGUACAAAGGCAUCUCCCUUUGACAAAGCUGAUGCCUAGCCCAUCAGGACCUACUUAGGAAGGAGGAUAGCAUACCACAGUAGUUUUUGCUGUAAACAUUUUGCCCAUCAGUGUUUUUUUUUAAGGCCACCAGAUAACUUAAUAAUGAUUGUAAAUUUUAGCAUCACUGCAUGAGCAUACAACUAAUUCUGGGCAUCUGCUCUAGGGAAGACAGAAUCUAUUCGUAAACCUUUCAAGGGAAAACGUAACCAAAGAGGCAAAUGAGGAGUGUGAUACAUUCUUGAUAAAGGAUCUGCUGGUGAUAGACAGAUAGAUUAGAGAUUCUGCUGUGGAUAGCAAGAAGGCAGACAGAGAAAUGGGAGCAUUAGGGAGCAAAGAUUAUUCUUAUGGCUUCUCCCUCUGGCCUCCAGUACCCGUGUAGUGUAGAACCUGGCCUUGGGCUUGGAUGUCUGUCCUUUCUCUUUGGCCUCUCUCCCAGCAAAAUGCAGAGUUAAAAAAAAAUAAAAUUAAAAAUGGAGUGAUAUGUGUUUGGUAUGUCAGCCAGUGGCCACAUGUGCAGUGAGGAAAUUUUCUCUGAGAGCUCCCAAAGCUCAUAAUCAUUGUGCAAGACAUAAUUAUACUCUUUAGAAAUCCAGAUCAGUCCAUAGUAAGGGGAGGACGGAAGAGAGUGUUGCAGACAGAUUUUAACAAGUGUAUGUGUCUCCUUUCUGCAACAAUUUUGGUCUUAAGUGCACUUGGCUAAAUUCUCAUUCUCCCCUGGGAGGGUUACUGGAGGGAUUUCCAGGCUUUUCUGUCUGCCUUCUGCAGGCUCAUGGGGAGCAAAAGUGAUGACUACCAAUCGUUGCACCUGCUUCAGAGAGGGACAGCGCUUGCUCCCAGAUGCUUGCCUCGGGGUGCCAGCAGGAACAGGGGAGUAGGAAGAGGCUGGCACUGCUGGUUAAACAGACAGUCCUCCCUCCCGGGAGCUAUGGAGUGCCAGUGGGCACGAUGUAACCAGGUCUUUGGAGCUGAGCGAAUGCUAAUGGCAGCAUUUUGCCUGCUCCUCGUCGGAUAAAUAGAGAGGCUCAGAGGAUGAUGCUUUCCUGAACGUUGCUUCACUCUCACAGUGCUUCAGUGGUAGCUAGUGUUCCGGUCUCUGUAUGAAAAAAGCUUUGUGCUGUUACUUCAGAGAGCAAAAUCAAAUUAAGCUGGAGAGCAACAUGAUUUCUAACUGGUUUUAACCAUGUGCUUAUCCAGCCUAAUCUUUGUUGUUAAGCUUUGUCUUUGUUUGCUGAGAUGGAGAACCUGUUUAGGUCUUGUGACUUCCUAAACAUCACUAAAGAUUUUCUGAGCAGUGAUUUGUUCACAAAAUGGGGCUUCAAAAUGGCCUAGCAUUCUGCUUGUUUGUGGUGCGCAGACAUCUGACUGACUACAGAUGUUUCAUCAUUCUCAGAUUUGCUAUAUUUUGCAACUGGAAAAAAUGCUUUAAUAAAGCAAAUGAACAAUACCCUCUGAACUGUUGAAGUGAAUGUGGAUUUUGCCUGGGGCAGUGGUGUCUGGAGGUUCACAAACGUCGUUGCAUUCUACCAAAGCAAAAUAGUUUGCACUUAGUUCUUGAGAGCAGCGUUUUGCAUGCAGGGAUGAUCAGAUCCUUGAACCAGACAGAGGAUUGCCAUGUAUUACCGUAACUCUCUAGAUCACACCUCAGUAUUUGGGAUGAGAGGUGAAUGUCGGCCACAUGAUGUUUCCUAUGUUGUGUUUGGCUACAAGUGUUGUCACUUUUUCCAUUGACAGAGACACUGCAGUGGAGGGAUCUAGUUGUCAGAUGUCAGAUUAUCAAAACUGUGUAGGUGCUUAAAGGUAUGACUGAUUGCCUGAAGGUAUUUUCAAAACCACCUUAGCCAGUUAAGGUAUGUUCCAUUGACGCUGGAUGUUUCAAGUUCUGUUUGCUGCCUGCUGUUAUGUUGGAUUAUACCAGUUCCUCUUAAGAUCUUUGUUAUCACUACCAAGGCUUGCUGGCUCUCCCACCAGAGGAUUUUGGAAUACCCUUUAGACUUCUGUAGGAAGCAUGCUGGGGGUGAUGAUGUGGCUCCAGUCUGCUGCUUUGAAACCAAAGUGGAGUGGCCUUUUGGCAGCUUUGGUUGAAGUUGCUGGGGGAGGGGAGAGGGACGUUGUGGUACAGCAGGGAAGAUUUAUAUCUUAGGAACAUACUGAAGAAACCUGGGUCACUGAGAAGUUGACUCUAGAAACUAGCCAGGAGAAAGACAGAAUACAAGUAGUAAGAGUUAGAAGGCAUAAAUAAGAGGACAGUAAAAAAAAUGAGAAAUGUCAACUGUAAAGCAUAGAGAAAUCUUGUAGAAUGAGUGUUGCAAUGUAAGCCACAACAGCACAAAUGCUGUCAUUACGCCUUGUUUUCUGAGUGAGGAAUAGAUAAACCUGAAGGAUGGCAGGCUUGGCGGGCAUCUCGUUCACAAUGAAAUACUGAACAGACAAAUCAGCUGCAAGGGAGACUUCAGCCAUUUUGCAGUAAGCACAGCUUGGCUUGAUAAACAGCCUCUCAGAAGAAGAUACUUACGUCAUGAGUCCAGGCUUAGAGAAAAGCUAGUGACUGCAGCUCUCCUUUAUGUUAUAUUUUGUCUAUUAUGUGCUUCCAAACGGUACUUUUAGUGAUAUCAGUAGAGAAAAGAUAACUGUAAGUAUCAAGCAAGAAGGAAAUGAUAAAAAAGAAGCUGUAGAAAGAGUUUAUCAAGAAACGAGAAAGAAUGUCUGGCCACUUUUUUAGAUGCUGUAAAACCAGAAUGAUUGUUUAGAUUUUAGUUGAAGCCUACUAAAUUUACUUGCAGAAUAUCCAGCCCUUGGUUUGAGAUAAUUCAUGUAAGCAGGAUCUUUAUUCCUGUGUAGGUUAAUAUUUCUAUAGGGAUGUUGAUAUUCUUAAACAUAAAACACAGAUUUUUAAACUGAAUUAAAAUUAGUAACUCCCAGUUAGAGGUGUCAGUCUUCAGGAGUUUUGAAUUGUGAAAAGGAAGACCUGAGAUAAACACGAAUCUACAAAUUGUGAAAGCUCAGAUAUCCUAACUCCAGCAAGUCAAGCAUAAAGUACAGAGAUUGUCUAGCAGAACAGCUGUGCCAAAUAGGAGAAGUACUUGCAGUUCCACGAAGAGGAAUUCAACACACUUGAUAUGUUGUUAUAAUAAUUUAGGAAUUUGUGUAACUUGAGAAGUGUUUUGGAAGUGAUUUAGAUAGCACACUUUAGAAGCAGAGAAGAAUUGAAAUGAGAAAUAUAUAAUGAUUUCAUAAAUAUCUUUUUACUUAAUGUCAUUUUUCAGAAGGUCCAGAUAAAAACUUGUUAGAAUUGAUAGAGAAAUUCCCACUGAGUUCUGUGCGCCUUGAAUCAGACUUUUGGCAACUCAACGCCCUGAAAACCAGCAGGAAAAAUGUUUUGGAAACCUUUGAUUUGGGAAAGUGUGAUCACAACAUAAGAAUUAAAUUACUGUUCUUCCUUGUCAUUGUUUGACAGUUAGUCCAGCUCUCACAAUUCUCCAUAAAACUUAUUCAGAAAGAGAUGAGUGGAAUUUUACACCAAGUGUAUGGUGGGAUUAAUUAUAUGAGGUGAAGUUUUUGGGAUUUUAGCUAGUGAAACACCUGCAAAAUGCUGCUUAGGGGUAGGAUUUAAGGAAGACCUUGAUUGAACUAAAGCUGUAAUGGUUUAAUGUUUAAAUAACUGUGGCACUGUUUGCAAUUGCAACAUUCAUUAAGGCAAUUGUGGAUUAUUGUGUUGUUUGCUUCCUUUCCUAUUGUGCAAUGAACUUAGUUCAGCAGAAUGGGUAUAAAGAAAUGAUGAUCCAGUGCCCUCAAUAGCAUCUUUUUGUGAAGACUGAGAUGGUACAAGGAUUCCAGUGAUGCAAUCUUCUCAUCUUUUCCUCAUUCAGAUCUCUCACUGUCUAGAAAGCAUAAGUAUCAACUGUGAGACUGAGUUCUAAUUCCCUUCCAUUUGCAGUUUCACAAGUUGAACAACUUAUAGUUCAUCAGAAUUGGGAAUAUGUAUGAUUUUGAUAGUUUAUUUUGUCAGAAAACUUUGUGAAAUCCAGGCAGCUGAGGAAGAAACAACAUGCCCAUCAUUUGCCAAAUCCUCCUCAGGCAGUGCCUUAGGACAUGGUUGGCCAUGUUUUAAUUUACGUGUCAUGUUCCAGAGCUGAACCAAAAGGCCAUGCUGAAGUAUGGAUGUGGCUGGUUACCAAGGCGGAGUCAGUGGUCAUUUGGAAGCUUUUCUUGUCAUUUUCUGUCUACAUAUCUUGAGCCAAAAUUAUAUGAGAUUAGUUCUCUCUGAUGAUUUCUCCAUAGUAUUUUAUUUUUCAAGUAAGAUUGUUGGAGGAAAAUUGUAGUGGUAUCUAGAUAACACUAGAAAAUGCACACCUUCUGGUUAUUUAUAGGAGAAAUUUGAAUCCGGUUAUAAAUAAUUCUACUCUUUACUAAAGAACUUUUGAGACUGCAUCUGCAUUCGUAUAAACAGAGACUUGUGACUAUGUCACAGACGAUAAAGAUGUUUGAAAGCAGUUUUGGUAUUUGAAAGUGGGGACGGUCUUAAUCUAGUAGGAAUAACUGGGCAGUCUUCAUCCUCCAGAAAUCUGUCUGAGCAUCAUAUGGCAGAAGUUAUAACCUCUAAAACCAGUGUUCUUUUAUAUCCAAACCAAGUAAUUAGAAACUUCCUUCUCUUUUUUAUUUGCCAUGUUAUCAAAUGUACAUUUUGUUGGAUGUGCAGUUCUAGAGCACAAAGACAUGAUGUGUGGAGAGAAUAAUGCUGCAGAUAUGUAAAUGUAUCUCAAGGUGUUUAAGAUAGAAGUUAAUGGGGCUGCCACACGAAGAGUUGCCACUGUGAAUACAAUAUCUGUGUGUAUGAACUUGUAGAUUCGUACACAUUGAGCAUGGGAGGUUUUGGAAGAGAAAGAAGGUAGGAUCUUAUCGCAAUUUCAGUUAAAGGUUACCAGUCAGGGUAAUUGUGGUAAUAUACGAGCUUCAGUACGUCAUUGUUGCUUGCAGGCAUUGGAUACAACUGCCCUUAACAGAGGGAGAGGUUUUCUUCACUUGAAAAUGUAGCUAUACUGCUUUGGGAUCCUGAGGUCCUUCACUGAAUCUUCUGCUGAGAAGAAGUCUCCAGAAAGCAGGAUAAUCCUUCCUGUGACAUUUACUCACUCGAUUACCUUCCUGUAUUUUGUGCAGGCCAUUUCAGGCUUUUCAAAUUUUAUUUGUUCUUGCCAGACCGCAUUUAUUCAUUAGCUGCAUUUAUUGUAGUUAUGGUUGAGACAGCACUUUUAUUGUAAGGCCUCAGUCUUUGGUGGUUUAUAACUUUCUGAAACAAUUACCUUUUUGGCUGAAAUUUCUCAAGCUUGUUCUAAGCUCGGAGGUGAAUAAUGUUUCAGUAAGUUUGAAAAAAAUCCAUUAAGCCAUUUAUGAGGACUAGACGUUCCAAUAAACGUAGGCGCAUUUAUUUUUUGAUGACCUACUUAUUCCAAUAAAGUACAUUAUUAUUCUGUUUUCUCCUGUUUUAAUUUAUGUUGUCUUUUAAAAGAGAAUGAGGACAUUUUAUACUGGAUUUUCAGACAGGCUUCAGCUGAGGUUUGUUGACAUGCAGUUCAGCACAGGGAAGCAUGCUUGCUGACUGUGCUUAGCUCAGAAGCAGGACUGUUUAUGGGUGCAAAGGGUUUUGGUCUAGUGUCUUUCUCUACGGGAAAACAACUCAAUCCCUUGUGCUUGUAGUGGAUAUUUGACAGAGUGCAUAUGCAACUCAACUGUGCAGUGCAAGGCUAGAGGGAAAAAGCGGGGCUAUCUUUGGAACGUGCAUCUUUGGUUGUGCUAUGGCGUUAGUGCAUUGUGAAGAUUCAGAUAUCGCUUGUGCAAAAGUGCAGUCAAUAUACUUCUGCUGUCUGGCAGGCACGGGCUACGGUUUUUUGUGACAAUGUCCUGAACAGUGUGAACUAAUUUGACAAAUGAUGAAGUCUCAUGUGAUUGAAAAGACAGUGUUGUUUGGUUUUUUUGCACUUAACUUUUGCACAGACUGCAAUUAAAUUCCAUGUGCUUUGUCUUGUGUCUGUGUGUAGUGUUUUGUAUUGUAUGGCUUGUAUACUGUAUCGCAUGCACUGAGAGGAAGUGGAAUCAACUUCUAUCUUCCUUACGCUAGCAUGAUGCUAAUAAAAUUCUACUUAAUAAAAGAAAGAUGUUCUAAGUUUAUGCCAGUGUAACCGAGAGCAGAAUUUGACCCAGUAUGAUUAAUUGUACUGAUGAACUUUGAUGCCAAACUCCAUGCCCUUUGCACAAUUAAAAUCUCAACUUUAACAUUGCAUUAACCCAGCUUUUCAUUUAAUUAUACGUAUUUAGUUGAAAGCUCCAAAAAUGUUAAUAUUUUAAGUCUCUUCUCCUGUUUAUAAUUGAACUUUUUUGUGUGAUUGUUUUCUGCAGUAAUCAACAGGACAUUAGCAUGGACAGGAAAUGAAUCUGGAACUCUAGAGAUUAAUAUUAAUCUGCUAAUGUCCUGUCCUGAUGUUCUCAGGAAUCCUUUCUUCUCCAGCACAUUAUGGUACUUUAGUAAUCAGUAAUUAGGGUAAGGUUUUCUCAUGCCUGAACUAUGUCCUCUUAUAUCUUUCAUUUUCUGAUUGCUAUGGGAAUGAUGGUUUUUUCCCCCCAUGGAAUCAGAGCAAAAUGUAAUGUUUCUUCUUCAGCAGCCACACUGCUUAGACAAAUGCAGGGUUUGAGGCAUAGCAUAUUAUCAGUGAGGAGAUUUGGGGGUUAGUAUUCUGGAAUUUAACCUCAGGUUAUAUUUCUGUAUGGCAUUUGCCAUGCCCCCAUGUUUUGAAAUACUGAUCUUAAUUCUCGUGCCAACUACAUCAGUAAGCAUGUACUUUGUAGUAGUGCUUUAGGAAACACAGAGCCAUCAAGAGCUGAUCCAGGCACUUAGGAGCCUGGGCCAUGCUGAAAUGCGUGUAGUGAGUGUCAUUCUCAUCCUUUGACUAUGUAGUCCAGCAAGGUUUUUUCAGAUCCAGUUUCCCAGGUUAGGGCAAAAAGGCAGUGUAACCUUGAUGUAUCCAGCAGCUUCAGUAUCUCCCUUAAUAUUCAUCACUUCUCAGCCCAUCUCGUUGUCCCAGCCCACAAACUGACUGAUGCUGCUUCAUUCAUUAUUUGUAGCCUUAGGACUACAGUGGGCUCCACUGAUACUGGUUCCUUCUGUAUGCAUAGGAGUUAGCCAGGAUAUCCUGAGUAGAAAACUGCUCACUGAGCCAUACUACUUGUUCCUUGUCAUUUUCUCUUCUUACCACACCCCAGAUGGUCCUGGAACACUGUACCUUUGCAGCACUUAGGAAAUGCAGACCUAUCUCCAUGAAUACCACUUCAUUUGCAUAACAAAGCUGAACUGAUUUUUAUUUCUUUUAGGAUGUAUGCAGAACUGAGAUAAUUAGUUUUCAGGUUUUCAGAGAGUUGUAGGAUUUGGGGAGAGGGAAGACAAGAAGAGCAUGUUUGUUUUUUGUUUUCUUUUCUGGCAUAAGUGCCUGUGGUUUUGAU